GGGCCGGUAGCUCAGUGGUAGAGUCGCGGACUUUUAAUCCGUCGGUCGUGGGUUCGAAUCCCACCCGGCUCA
Molecule: transfer RNA, 72 nt
Filed under: Dehalococcoidia bacterium
Lineage: Bacteria; Bacillati; Chloroflexota; Dehalococcoidia
Description: tRNA-Lys
Rfam family: tRNA
About the family: Transfer RNA (tRNA) molecules are approximately 80 nucleotides in length.
Source: RNAcentral